UUUUUUUUUUUUUUUUUGAGACAGAGUCUCACUCUGUCACCCAGGCUGGAGCACAGUGGUAUGGUUUUGGCUCACUGCAACCUCCGCCUCCUGGGUUCAAGGGAUUCUCCUGCCUCAGCCUCCUGAGUAGCUGGGAUACAAGCAUGCAUCACUAUGCCCAGCUAAUUUUUGUAUUUUUAGUAGAGACGGAGUUUUGCCAUGUUGGCCAGACUGGCCUCUAACUCCUGACCUCAGGUGAUCUGCCCACCUCAGCUUCCCGAAGUGCUAGGAUUCCAGGCAUGAGCCACCGUGCCUGGCUGAUGAGGAUCUUUUUAAUAUAUUGUUGAAUUUCAUUUGCUAGUAUUUUGUUGAGGAUUUUUUGUGUCAAUGUUCAUCAGAGAUAUUGGCCUGUAGUUUUCUCUUUUUGCUGUGUCUUUGUCUGGUUUUGGUAUCAGGUUUUGACCUCUGGAAUGGACAUUCCCCUCUGGCUAUGGCUGGUCUAAAUGUUCCCUCCAUGUGUUGGUCUAAAUGUUCCCUCCAGCUGUGUUGCUUUCCACUGUGAGAGGCCAGCAUUGAGUUCCAAUGCAAAGUUCCACAAUCACUGUGCAACCCCUCCUCCAAGUGCACAGAUUCUCUCUCUGAGGCCAUUGCUGGAGGCUGAGUGAGGAGGUAGUGUAGGCAAUUUCAGACUGCUUUUUCUACUCUUUUCAGUGACUCUUUCCUUCAUGUACCAGUCCGUUUUCGUGCUACUGAUAAAGACAUACCCAAGAGUGGGUAACAUAUAAAGAAAAGAAAGUCUAAUGGAAUCGCAGUUCCACAUGGCUGGGGAGGCCUCACAAUCAUGGCGGAAGGUUAAUGGCAUGUCUUACAUGGCAAAGGGAAUGAGUGCCAAGCAAAAGGGGUUUCCCCUUAUAAAACCAUUAGAUCUUGUGAGACUUAUUCACUACCAACGAGAACAGUAUGGGGGAAACCACCCUAAUGAUUCAAUUAUCUCCCACUGGGAACCUCCCACUACAUGUGGAAAUUAUGGGAGCUAGAAAUCAAGAUGGGAUUUGGGUGGGGACACAACCUAACCAUAUCAUUCUGCCCCUGGUCCCUCCCAAAUCUCAUGUCCUCACAUUUCAAAACAAUCAUGUAUUCCCAACAGUCCCCCAAAGUCUUAACUCGUUUCAGCAUUAACGCAGAAGUUCACAGUGCAAAGUCUUAUCUGAGACAAAGCAAGUCCCUUCUGCCUAUGAACCUGUAAAAUGAGAAGCAAGUUAGUUACUUCCUAGAUACAAUGGGGGAUUGGAUAAAUACACCCUUUUCAAAUAGGAGAAAUGGGCCUAAACAAAGGGGCUAAAUGCCCCAUGCAAGUCUGAAAUCCAGCAUGGCAGUCAAAUCUUAAAGCUCCAAAAUGAUCUCCUUUGACUCCAUGUCUCACAUACAGGUCGUGCUGAUGCAAGAGGUGGGUUCCCAUGGUCUUGGGCAGCUCUGUCCCUGUGGCUUUGCAGGGUACAGACUCCCUCCCAGCUGCUUUCAAAAGCUGGUGUUGAGUGUCUCCAGCUUUUCCAGGGGCACUAUGCAAGCUGUUGGUGGAUGUAUCAUUCUGGGGUCUGUAGGACAGUGGCUCUCUUCUCACAGCUCCACUAGGCAAUGCCCCAGUGGGGAUACUGUGUGGGAGUUCCAACCUACAUUUCCCUUCCCCACUGCCCUAGCAGAGGUUCUCCGUGAGAAACCCACCCCUGCAGCAAACUUCUGCCUGCACAUCCAGGCAUUUUUAUACAUCCUUUUAAAUCUAGGCAGAGGUUCCCAAACCUCAAUUCUUGACUUCUGUGCACCUGCAGGCUCAACACCAUGUGGAAGCCGCCAAGGCUUGGGGCUUGCACUCUUUAAAGUCAUGGCCCAAGCAGUACCUUGGCUGCUUUUAGCUAUGGCUACAG
Molecule: long non-coding RNA, 1901 nt
Organism: Macaca fascicularis (crab-eating macaque)
Lineage: Eukaryota; Metazoa; Chordata; Mammalia; Primates; Cercopithecidae
Source: Ensembl